AGUCACUGACAUUAGAUACCCCGGUAGUCCAGGGUGUAAACGCUGCAGACUUGGUGUUGGAAGCCCUUUGGGGGCAUUCAGUGCCGGAGAGAAGUUGUUGAGUCUGCUACUUGGGGAGUACGUCCGCAAGGAUGAAACUUAAAGGAAUUGGCGGGGGAGCACCGCAACGGGAGGAGCGUGCGGUUUAAUUGGAUUCAACACCGUAAACUCACCAGGGAAGACUGUUACAUGAAGGCCGAGAUGAAGACUCUGCUAGAUUUUCAG
This 264-nucleotide ribosomal RNA is filed under the name uncultured archaeon. RNAcentral describes it as "partial 16S ribosomal RNA". It matches the Rfam family "Archaeal small subunit ribosomal RNA", at positions 718 to 982 of the family's 1478-position model. The record is from RNAcentral.